Molecule: long non-coding RNA, 398 nt
Filed under: Hordeum vulgare
Lineage: Eukaryota; Viridiplantae; Streptophyta; Magnoliopsida; Poales; Poaceae
Description: long non-coding RNA (HVUL_LNC000476)
Source: RNAcentral
UCCAAAAUCAGAUCUGAAAAGAGUCAAAAACACAGAAAAAACAGGAACUCGCACUUGCACUGAAUUAAUAAGUUAGUCUCAAAAAACAUAUAAAAUAUACAUAAAAUAUCCAAAGAAGACAAGAUAACAACGUGAAACCAUAAAAAAUUAUAGAUACGUUUGAGACGUAUCAUCUGGCAAGACGGGUAGCAUAGAUACCUCCAUAGACAACACCUUUAGAACGGUUAAGGUUCAACCGUUGAGCUACUAUAGCGCCCAAGAUAUAAGUUUUAUCUCUACAAAGGGCUUCGCACAAGACCGCAAGAUCUGGGGAACUAAGUGACCCAGCUUUCCCAUGGCCAAUCAAACAUUUUCCCACAAAUAGUGAGAAUUACCGAAGCACGGUAAAAUGAAUGCUA